AUUGCUUCUUGGCCUUUUGGCUAAGAUCAAGUGUAGUAAUCAAAAUAAUAUAAAAUGUUGUAUUUUGCCUAUUGCUUUGACAAAAUUUAGCUUUGUUAGUAUUUAGUGUUGGCACCCAUGUGGGAAAAUGGCCUCUGAUUCACUUUAGGAAGCAAUAUUA
Molecule: small nuclear RNA, 160 nt
Filed under: Fukomys damarensis (Damara mole-rat)
Lineage: Eukaryota; Metazoa; Chordata; Mammalia; Rodentia; Bathyergidae
Description: U2 spliceosomal RNA
Rfam family: U2 spliceosomal RNA
About the family: U2 is a small nuclear RNA (snRNA) component of the spliceosome (involved in pre-mRNA splicing). Complementary binding between U2 snRNA (in an area lying towards the 5' end but 3' to hairpin I) and the branchpoint sequence (BPS) of the intron results the bulging out of an unpaired adenosine, on the BPS, which initiates a nucleophilic attack at the intronic 5' splice site, thus starting the first of two transesterification reactions that mediate splicing.
Source: Rfam by way of RNAcentral